UUAGGAAUCUUCCACAAUGGGCGAAAGCCUGAUGGAGCGACGCCGCGUGAGGGAUGAAGGCCUUAGGGUUGUAAACCUCUAAAAGAGGGACGAUAAUGACGGUACCUCUCGAAUAGCACCGGCUAACUCCGUGCCAGCAGCCGCGGUAAUACGGAGGGUGCAAGCGUUAUCCGGAAUCACUGGGCGUAAAGGGCGCGUAGGCGGUCUGUUAAGUCCGAUGUUAAAUCCCGGGGCUCAACCCCGGAUAAGCGUUGGAUACUGGCAGGCUAGACGGUUGGAGAGGCGAGUGGAAUUACCAGUGUAGCGGUGGAAUGCGUAGAUACUGGUAGGAACACCCAUUGCGAAGGCAGCUCGCUGGACAACACGUGACGCUGAGGCGCGAAAGUGUGGGGAGCAAACC
RNAcentral lists this ribosomal RNA (400 nucleotides) under uncultured bacterium. RNAcentral describes it as "bacterial SSU rRNA". It matches the Rfam family "Bacterial small subunit ribosomal RNA", at positions 355 to 774 of the family's 1533-position model. The record is from RNAcentral.